This 465-nucleotide ribosomal RNA is filed under the name Vreelandella stevensii. RNAcentral describes it as "partial 16S ribosomal RNA". It matches the Rfam family "Bacterial small subunit ribosomal RNA", at positions 338 to 795 of the family's 1533-position model. Lineage: Bacteria; Pseudomonadati; Pseudomonadota; Gammaproteobacteria; Oceanospirillales; Halomonadaceae. The record is from RNAcentral.
CCUACGGGUGGCUGCAGUGGGGAAUAUUGGACAAUGGGCGAAAGCCUGAUCCAGCCAUGCCGCGUGUGUGAAGAAGGCCUUCGGGUUGUAAAGCACUUUCAGUGGGGAAGAAAGCCUUGGGGCUAAUACCCUCGAGGAAGGACAUCACCCACAGAAGAAGCACCGGCUAACUCCGUGCCAGCAGCCGCGGUAAUACGGAGGGUGCGAGCGUUAAUCGGAAUUACUGGGCGUAAAGCGCGCGUAGGCGGUCUGAUAAGCCGGUUGUGAAAGCCCCGGGCUCAACCUGGGAACGGCAUCCGGAACUGUCAGGCUAGAGUGCAGGAGAGGAAGGUAGAAUUCCCGGUGUAGCGGUGAAAUGCGUAGAGAUCGGGAGGAGUACCAGUGGCGAAGGCGGCCUUCUGGACUGACACUGACGCUGAGGUGCGAAAGCGUGGGUAGCAAACAGGAUUAGAUACCCUGGUAGUC